RNAcentral lists this long non-coding RNA (1760 nucleotides) under Exaiptasia diaphana. RNAcentral describes it as "uncharacterized LOC114576470". The record is from RNAcentral. Lineage: Eukaryota; Metazoa; Cnidaria; Anthozoa; Actiniaria; Aiptasiidae.
AAAAUGCCAACGAAAAGACAGUGGGAUGUUUUAGCUUGAAUACUAGAAGAAGACCAACAAAAGUUUCUGUGUUGUGCUACUUUGAUGUGCUAACAAGUCUAAACNGUGUGGAAAAUGUUCNCUCAAGUCAAGUACNAAACACGGUCGGUAAUUAUUCACAAGACAGCUUUUUAUAUUAGUUAAAGUCUAUUGUUGUAGCAUUACAUUUAAUAAUCAUGUAUCAGAACACAUGCCUUACACAUGAUUUUUGAUGGUAUAGGAUAUAUACUCGAGACCUUUGCAUGACCAUUCCUUUCAUAAUUUUUUUAUCAGAUUGAAAUAUUAAGGUUCAUGUAUUAGGGAAAGUACAUUAAUGUCUUAAAAAUAUUUCUCAUACUCAUUAAUUAUUCACGAGGUAUCCAGCCAAUCCCUGANUGUAAUUUGUACUACAUGCAAUANCUGGAAAACCAGAUACUCCUACCUUGUUUCCAGUUGCUUCUACCGUAUUUUCCAGUUACUUCUNCCUUUUUCUAACUACUNCUAGCUAAUAAUAAUAAAAGCAUUGGAUAGAAUUUAUUUAGUAGUGAAAAAUGACAUGACUGCCUCACGAAUCGAUCCCCAACUGGCCAGUAUAUAUGUACCGUCUUAUAGUACAGAGUUUCUGAUGUGAUUCCUUGGAAGAUGACAUUCUUAUAAAUCUUAUGAAUUAGGCACAUUAAAAUUGCCGUGAAUAGCAGAGAAAGACAAAGACAAUUUGUCAUGAGUAGCUUUUGUUUCAGAACCAUUCGGGAAUUUGACUAGAAAUCCCAUGCAGUCCUCAUAGUCGGACCUAACACUACAUGAAUUUUGAUAUCUUAAUAAUACCAUAAUGAAUCAUCCAAGGUAAAAUGAUUGUAAUGUGACUUAGGCAGAAUUGACAGCUGAAGUAGUCAGCUUUAACAACUGCCAAAUACAGAACUUUUUAAUUAUUGCAUUGCAUUGCAUUAGUGUUUGUAGUGUUGCGUAGUUAGCUGUCUCCUUCUUAAUUGCAUCUAGUCUUGUAUCUGUAACAAAGAGCAAGUCUUCUGCAUUGUCAUCUGCAUACUCUGAGUACAGUGUCUGUUCUUCAUUUAACUGAAAAAUCUGAUAGUGAGGUGUUUCUUUGUCAAUGGACUUGUUUGGCAAUGAUGCUCUUGAUAGUGUGUCACUGAUAAACAUCUGUGGUCCAGGCUUGUAUUCUAAACCAAGUGAGUACUUCUGUGAUGUAAGUCUCAUUCUCUGUAAUCUCUUUGGGCUUGUAAGAAUUGGCUUCUUAAGAUUGUUACCAGUGGUUUGUGGUCAGUGUAGACUUUGACCUUGUCUUUACCCAGUAUGUAAUGUUCAAAUCUUCAUGUUGCAAAAACAAUUGCAAGACACUCCUUUUCUAUCUGGGUGUAAUUACGUUCGGUCUGUGUCAGUGCUCUUGACGCAUAUUCAAUGGGCUUUCCAUCCUGAGUGAUCACGGCUCCAAGUCCAACAUCUGAACUGUCACAUUCUAUUACUACAUCUUUCUUGACAUCGUAGUAUUGCAGUAUUGGUGUUUCAGUCAUCAUUGUCUUGAUCUUUGUGAAUGCUGCUUGGUGCUGUGGUAGCCAGUCGAAGGCUGCAUGUUUGUCUGUAAGACGACGAACAAAUGGUUCCACAACUGUACUGAGUUGUGAUAGGAACUUGGCUAGGUAGGUUACGACUCCCACACUCUAGUCCAAAUUAAGAAAUAAUUGGUUGAGGAAAAUUCCAAGGAGUGCAAAAGCUAAUUGCCUAAU